AGCCGUAAGGCGAAGCUCCUGAUCGAAGCCCCAGUAAACGGCGGCCGUAACUAUAACGGUCCUAAGGUAGCGAAAUUCCUUGUCGGGUAAGUUCCGACCUGCACGAAUGGCGUAAUGAUGGCCAGGCUGUCUCCACCCGAGACUCAGUGAAAUUGAACUCGCUGUGAAGAUGCAGUGUACCCGCGGCAAGACGGAAAGACCCCGUGAACCUUUACUAUAGCUUGACACUGAACAUUGAGCCUUGAUGUGUAGGAUAGGUGGGAGGCUUUGAAGUGUGGACGCCAGUCUGCAUGGAGCCAACCUUGAAAUACCACCCUUUAACGUUUGAUGUUCUAACCUAGGCCCAUAAACUGGGUCGGGGACCGUGUCUGGUGGGUAGUUUGACUGGGGCGGUCUCCUCCUAAAGAGUAACGGAGGAGCACGAAGGUUGGCUAAGCAUGGUCGGACAUCAUGCGGUUAGUGCAAAGGCAUAAGCCAGCUUGACUGCGAGAGUGACGGCUCGAGCAGGUACGAAAGUAGGUCUUAGUGAUCCGGUGGUUCUGAAUGGAAGGGCCAUCGCUCAACGGAUAAAAGGUACUCCGGGGAUAACAGGCUGAUACCGCCCAAGAGUUCAUAUCGACGGCGGUGUUUGGCACCUCGAUGUCGGCUCAUCACAUCCUGGGGCUGAAGUAGGUCCCAAGGGUAUGGCUGUUCGCCAUUUAAAGUGGUACGCGAGCUGGGUUUAGAACGUCGUGAGACAGUUCGGUCCCUAUCUGCCGUGGGCGUUGGAAGAUUGAGAGGGGUUGCUCCUAGUACGAGAGGACCGGAGUGAACGCACCACUGGUGUUCGGGUUGUCAUGCCAAUGGCAUUGCCCGGUAGCUAAGUGCGGAAGAGAUAACCGCUGAAAGCAUCUAAGCGGGAAACUUGCCUCGAGAUGAGUCUUCCCUGUCACUUUAAGUGACCUAAAGGAACGUUUAAGACUAAGACGUUGAUAGGCUGGGUGUGUAAGCGUAGCGAUACGUUGAGCUAACCAGUACUAAUGAACCGUGAGGCUUAACCUG
RNAcentral lists this ribosomal RNA (1041 nucleotides) under Proteus mirabilis. RNAcentral's name for it is "partial 23S ribosomal RNA". It matches the Rfam family "Bacterial large subunit ribosomal RNA", at positions 1892 to 2925 of the family's 2925-position model. Lineage: Bacteria; Pseudomonadati; Pseudomonadota; Gammaproteobacteria; Enterobacterales; Morganellaceae. The record is from RNAcentral.